UCGAGAGGCUUCGGCAAUGGGGGAAACCCUGACCGAGCGACGUCGCGUGGGUGAUGAAGAUCUUCGGAUCGUAAAACCCUGUCAGGUGGGAUGAAUGUCACAUGGUGAACAACCACGUGGCUUGACAGUACCACCAGAGGAAGCUCCGGCCAACUCCGUGCCAGCAGCCGCGGUAACACGGGGGGAGCGAGCGUUGUUCGGAAUCAUUGGGCGUAAAGAGCUCGUAGGUGGCUCCGUAAGUCGAUGGUGAAAGGCCAUGGCUCAACCAUGGAUAUACCUUUGAAACUGCGGAACUUGAGAUCGGGAGAGGAGAGUGGAAUUCCUGGAGUAGCGGUGAAAUGCGUAGAUAUCAGGAGGAACACCAGUGGCGAAGGCGGCUUUCUGGCCCGAUUCUGACGCUGAGGAGCGAAAGCCAGGGGAGCGAACGGGAUUAGAUACCCCGGUAGUCCUGGCCCUAAACGAUGGGCACUAGGUGUGGGAAGUUCGACCCUUUCCGUGCCGCAGUUAACGCAUUAAGUGCCCCGCCUGGGAAGUACGGCCGCAAGGUUG
This 549-nucleotide ribosomal RNA is filed under the name uncultured bacterium. Its description in RNAcentral is "bacterial SSU rRNA". It matches the Rfam family "Bacterial small subunit ribosomal RNA", at positions 355 to 896 of the family's 1533-position model. The record is from RNAcentral.